GAGUUUGAUCGUGGCUCAGAUUGAACGCUGGCGGCAUGCCUUACACAUGCAAGUCGAACGGUAACAGGUCUUCGGAUGCUGACGAGUGGCGAACGGGUGAGUAAUACAUCGAAACGUGCCCGAUCGUGGGGGGAUAACGGAGCGAAAGCUUUGCUAAUACCGCAUACGAUCUACGGAUGAAAGCAGGGACCGCAAGGCCUUGCGCGGACGGAGCGGCCGAUGGCAGAUUAGGUAGUUGGUGGGAUAAAAGCUUACCAAGCCGACGAUCUGUAGCUGGUCUGAGAGGACGACCAGCCACACUGGGACUGAGACACGGCCCAGACUCCUACGGGAGGCAGCAGUGGGGAAUUUUGGACAAUGGGCGAAAGCCUGAUCCAGCCAUGCCGCGUGCAGGAUGAAGGCCUCGGUUGUAAC
Molecule: ribosomal RNA, 414 nt
Filed under: uncultured microorganism
Description: bacterial SSU rRNA
Rfam family: Bacterial small subunit ribosomal RNA
Source: RNAcentral